AUUGAACGCUGCGGCAGGCUUAACACAUGCAAGUCGAGCGAGCGGCGGACGGGUGAGUAAUGCUUAGGAAUCUGCCUCUUAGUGGGGGACAACAUCUCGAAAGGAUUGCUAAUACCGCAUAAUAAUAGAUGAGCCUAGUCGGAUUAGCUAUUGGGUGGGGUAAAGGCCUACCAAGGCGACGAUCUGUAGCGGGUCUGAGAGGAUGAUCCGCCACAGUGGGAAUGUGACACGGCCCAGACUCCUACGGAAGGCAGCAGUGGGGAAUAUGGACAAUGGGGGGAACCCUGAUCCAGCCAUGCCGCGUGUAUGAAGAAGGCCCUAGGGUUGUAAAGUACUUUCAGUCGGGAGGCGUUACCGACAGAAGAAGCACCGGCUAACUCCGUGCCAGCAGCCGCGGUAAUAC
RNAcentral lists this ribosomal RNA (403 nucleotides) under uncultured bacterium. Its description in RNAcentral is "partial 16S ribosomal RNA". It matches the Rfam family "Bacterial small subunit ribosomal RNA", at positions 30 to 526 of the family's 1533-position model. The record is from RNAcentral.